UACGUAGGGUGCAAGCGUUAAUCGGAAUUACUGGGCGUAAAGCGUGCGCAGGCGGUUAUGUAAGACAGGUGUGAAAUCCCCGGGCUUAACCUGGGAACUGCAUUUGUGACUGCAUAGCUAGAGUACGGUAGAGGGGAUGGAAUUCCGCGUGUAGCAGUGAAAUGCGUAGAUAUGCGGAGGAACACCGAUGGCGAAGGCAAUCCCCUGGACCUGUACUGACGCUCAUGCACGAAAGGCGUGGGAGCAAACAGG
This 252-nucleotide ribosomal RNA is filed under the name uncultured bacterium. Its description in RNAcentral is "partial 16S ribosomal RNA". It matches the Rfam family "Bacterial small subunit ribosomal RNA", at positions 524 to 776 of the family's 1533-position model. The record is from RNAcentral.